AUUGAACGCUGGCGGCAUGCUUUACACAUGCAAGUCGAACGGCAGCGGGGUAGUGCUUGCACUACUGUCCGGCGAGUGGCGAACGGGUGAGUAAUAUAUCGGAACGUACCGAGUAAUGGGGGAUAACCAAUCGAAAGGUUGGCUAAUACCGCAUACGUCCUGAGGGAGAAAGCGGGGGAUCGCAAGACCUCGCGUUAUUCGAGCGGCCGAUAACUGAUUAGCUAGUUGGUGGGGUAAAGGCCUACCAAGGCGACGAUCAGUAGCGGGUCUGAGAGGACGAUCCGCCACACUGGGACUGAGACACGGCCCAGACUCCUACGGGAGGCAGCAGUGGGGAAUUUUGGACAAUGGGGGCAACCCUGAUCCAGCCAUGCCGCGUGUAUGAAGAAGGCCUUCGGGUUGUAAAGUACUUUUGUUAGGGAAGAAAAGGGAAGUGCUAAUACCACUUUUUGCUGACGGUACCUAAAGAAUAAGCACCGGCUAACUACGUGCCAGCAGCCGCGGUAAUACGUAGGGUGCGAGCGUUAAUCGGAAUUACUGGGCGUAAAGCGAGCGCAGACGGUUAUUUAAGCAGGAUGUGAAAUCCCCGGGCUUAACCUGGGAACUGCGUUCUGAACUGGAUAGCUAGAGUGUGUCAGAGGGGGGUAGAAUUCCACGUGUAGCAGUGAAAUGCGUAGAGAUGUGGAGGAAUACCGAUGGCGAAGGCAGCCCCCUGGGAUAACACUGACGUUCAUGCUCGAAAGCGUGGGUAGCAAACAGG
This 760-nucleotide ribosomal RNA is filed under the name uncultured Eikenella sp. RNAcentral describes it as "bacterial SSU rRNA". It matches the Rfam family "Bacterial small subunit ribosomal RNA", at positions 28 to 776 of the family's 1533-position model. The record is from RNAcentral. Lineage: Bacteria; Pseudomonadati; Pseudomonadota; Betaproteobacteria; Neisseriales; Neisseriaceae.